Daucus carota subsp. sativus is the source of this 503-nucleotide long non-coding RNA. RefSeq lists it as uncharacterized. The transcript has 4 exons. Lineage: Eukaryota; Viridiplantae; Streptophyta; Magnoliopsida; Apiales; Apiaceae. The record is from RefSeq and is a predicted model, not a curated record.
AUACGCGAGGUGAGAAGAAGGAGAUCAAGCUGUCGGAUCUAGGCCAACCUAUAUCAGAUGAUGACGAUCAUUUGCUAUCUGAGUUCAGCAAUUUCUUAGGAACAACGGUAAGGGAGUUUGUUUCUCUAACAUGUCGUAGUUGGAGUGAAGUUCCUGAAAAAGACAUCUUAUGGCAGUAUGUGAAGGAUAAAUACAUCAUUCCUGAGGAGGGUUAUAAAUGGGUAAUGACAACGAUGCGUGAUCAGUUUAGGGCAUACAAGGCUCGCAUCAAGAGGGAACAUUAUAGUAAGUAUGGUACUGAUGAGGAGAGGCUCGAGAACAGGCCGAGGGAUGUCCCUUUGAAAGAUUUUAAAAUGCUUUUAAUUUAUUGGGCUGAUGAAAAAAUAAAGGACAAGGCGAUAAAAAAUAUAAGGGCUCGAAGCUUUUUAAGUGAAACACAUACCGUCGGGCCUAGGAGUUUCGCCUAAGUCUGCCACAAAAUGGCAAUUGCUAGGGAACAGGCG